Molecule: long non-coding RNA, 734 nt
Organism: Callithrix jacchus (white-tufted-ear marmoset)
Lineage: Eukaryota; Metazoa; Chordata; Mammalia; Primates; Cebidae
Source: RefSeq, a predicted model, not a curated record
GUAAAGCCUUCGUGGGGACUCAGUUCAGGGAGUUUAUGGACCAGUUAGGUGACUUACACUGCAUUUUCCCCUGCCCCCAUCCACACAGCUCAAGAGUGUGGCUUGCCUGCGAGCCACAGAGAAGAGACCUGGAGGGAUGAAUUCUUAUUAUACCAUUCAUCGUGCCCAUGAGGCCAAAGGAAUAGGCUUCUUCUUGACCUUUAUUAUUCACAUAAGAAGAACACAGAGAGAAAUGAUUUCAGAUAGAGUGAGAAAAUUGACAGAGAGGAAGAGAGAGAAAAUUGACAACUCAGCCUAAGUACUGAUACAUCUCAAGCAUUUAGACCAGUGACUGACACCUAAUCGGCUGUCAAUAUUUGUUGAACGACUGGAAAAAUUCUGUAAUGACUCAUGGGGGAACUUCUGGAUGCAGAUGGUGGUGAAGCUAGAAUACUGAAUCUCUCUCCUCCAUUAGAUAAUGAAAUAGAAAUUGUAAAAGAUCUUUGGGUACUAGAUCAGAUGUGGCUGAAAGAGCACAUUUUGGUAUGGUGGAAAUGGGAGAGGGUUUGGAACCACAUUAAAGGUAUGACUCUCUGGUCUCAUCGGAUCAGCAAUGCCUGACAGGGUGCUGGCCACAACCUAGAUAUUCAGCAUGUCAAGAUGAAUGGAUGGAGGGAUGGAUGGAAAGACAAAUGAUCUCAUAGUUAUUCACAUCCUUCAGGUGUCAGCUCAAAUGUCGCAUUGCAGAGCACUUC